GACGAACGCUGGCGGCGUGCUUAACACAUGCAAGUCGAACGGAAAGGCCCUGCUUGCAGGGUACUCGAGUGGCGAACGGGUGAGUAACACGUGGGUGAUCUGCCCUGCACUUCGGGAUAAGCCUGGGAAACUGGGUCUAAUACCGGAUAGGAGCCAUUUUUAGUGUGAAGGUUGGAAAGUUUUUUCGGUGUAGGAUGAGCUCGCGGCCUAUCAGCUUGUUGGUGGGGUAAUGGCCUACCAAGGCGGCGACGGGUAGCCGGCCUGAGAGGGUGGACGGCCACAUUGGGACUGAGAUACGGCCCAGACUCCUACGGGAGGCAGCAGUGGGGAAUAUUGCACAAUGGGCGCAAGCCUGAUGCAGCGACGCCGCGUGGGGGAUGACGGCCUUCGGGUUGUAAACUCCUUUCGCUAGGGACGAAGCUUUUUGUGACGGUACCUAGAUAAGAAGCACCGGCUAACUACGUG
RNAcentral lists this ribosomal RNA (465 nucleotides) under uncultured bacterium. RNAcentral describes it as "partial 16S ribosomal RNA". It matches the Rfam family "Bacterial small subunit ribosomal RNA", at positions 28 to 507 of the family's 1533-position model. The record is from RNAcentral.